RNAcentral lists this ribosomal RNA (253 nucleotides) under uncultured bacterium. RNAcentral's name for it is "partial 16S ribosomal RNA". It matches the Rfam family "Bacterial small subunit ribosomal RNA", at positions 524 to 776 of the family's 1533-position model. The record is from RNAcentral.
UACAGAGGAGCCAAGCGUUGUCCGGAUUGACUGGGCGUAAAGCGCACGCAGGCGGUCGUGCGCGUGGGGUGUGAAAUCUGGCCGCUUAACGGCCAGGCGCCAUCCCAUACGGCACGACUGGAGGGCUGCAGAGGUCGAUGGAAUUGCCGGUGUAGUGGUGAAAUGCGUAGAGAUCGGCAGGAACACCCAGGGGGAAACCAGUCGACUGGGCAGCACCUGACGCUGAGGUGCGAGAGCGUGGGGAGCGAACAGG